CCCGGUAGUCCAACGCUGUUAACGAUCGAUACUAGGUACGCGAGGGUACUUACCCCUUACGCCCUUAGCAUUACGUGAUAAGGAUACGGCCUGGGGACUUCGGCCUCCAAGGUUAAAAAUCGGGAGGAAUCGCAAGGGGGCCGGCACAAGCGAGCGGAGCGUAUGAUACUAAGAUGGAUGAUACCCGGAGAACGACACAUUGGGUUUGACAUGUUGGAUAAGUAGGGAAACGCAAUCGGAGUGGACCAUUCAGGGGAGCCAUCACAGUUGUCGACAUGGCUGUCGUCAGGUGCAGGUCGUGAGAUGCAGGGUGAAGUCCAGCCACGAGCUCAACCAUUGUCGUCUAGUCACAUGUGUCUAGGGUAGACUGCCGGUAGCUAGCCGGAGGAUGAUGGGGACGAGGCCAAGUCAGUCAUGGUCUAUACUCACAGGGCUACACACACGAUACAUGUGUCCGGUACAAUAGGUGGCCACACCGAGAGGAGGAGAGAAUCCCCAAAGCCGGUCUCAAGUCGGAUAGUAGUCUGCAACUCGACGGCAUGAAGGCGGAGUUGCUAGUAACCGCGCGUCAGCAAUAAUGCGGUGAAGGUGUUCACGAGACCGUGUACACACCGCCCGUCACAUCACGGCAGUCGGUUACACUGGAAGUCCCCGACCCAUCCGCAAGGAGGCAGCUGCAUAAGGUGGGAUCGGUGACUGGGAUGAAGUCGU
Molecule: ribosomal RNA, 711 nt
Filed under: uncultured organism
Description: bacterial SSU rRNA
Rfam family: Bacterial small subunit ribosomal RNA
Source: RNAcentral